This 206-nucleotide ribosomal RNA is filed under the name Polypedates maculatus (spotted whipping frog). RNAcentral describes it as "partial 16S ribosomal RNA". It matches the Rfam family "Bacterial large subunit ribosomal RNA", at positions 1891 to 2098 of the family's 2925-position model. Lineage: Eukaryota; Metazoa; Chordata; Amphibia; Anura; Rhacophoridae. The record is from RNAcentral.
ACGUGUAUACGACGUCCGCCUGCCAGUGUACUUUUACGGCCGCAGUAUCCUAACCGCGCGAAGGUAGCAUAAUCACUUGUUCUUUAAAUGGGGACUUGUAUCAACGGCAUCACUAGGGUUUUACUGACUCCUCUUUUAAAUCAAUGAAAUUGAUCUUCCCGUGAAUAAGCGGGAAUACCCCUAUGAGACGAUUUUACCCUAUGGAG